Molecule: ribosomal RNA, 323 nt
Filed under: uncultured bacterium
Lineage: Bacteria
Description: bacterial SSU rRNA
Rfam family: Bacterial small subunit ribosomal RNA
Source: RNAcentral
UAGCAAUACGUCAGCGGCAGACGGGUGAGUAACGCGUGGGAACAUACCUUUUGGUUCGGAACAACACAGGGAAACUUGGGCUAAUACCGGAUACGCCCUAACGGGGAAAGAUUUAUUGCCGAAGGAACGGCCCGCGUCCGAUUAGCUUGUUGGUGAGGUAACGGCUCACCAAGGCGACGAUCGGUAGCUGGUCUGAGAGGAUGACCAGCCUCACUGGGACUGAGACACGGCCCAGACUCCUACGGGAGGCAGCAGUGGGGAAUAUUGGACAAUGGGCGCAAGCCUGAUCCAGCCAUGCCGCGUGGGUGAUGAAGGCCCUAGGG